This 468-nucleotide ribosomal RNA is filed under the name uncultured bacterium. Its description in RNAcentral is "partial 16S ribosomal RNA". It matches the Rfam family "Bacterial small subunit ribosomal RNA", at positions 28 to 507 of the family's 1533-position model. The record is from RNAcentral.
GACGAACGCCGGCGGCGUGCUUAACACAUGCAAGUCGAACGGAAAGGCCCUGCUUUUGUUGGGUGCUCGAGUGGCGAACGGGUGAGUAACACGUGAGUAACCUGCCCUUGACUUUGGGAUAACUUCAGGAAACUGGGGCUAAUACCGGAUAGGAGCUCCUGCUGCAUGGUGGGGGUUGGAAAGUUUCGGCGGUUGGGGAUGGACUCGCGGCUUAUCAGCUUGUUGGUGGGGUAGUGGCUUACCAAGGCUUUGACGGGUAGCCGGCCUGAGAGGGUGACCGGCCACAUUGGGACUGAGAUACGGCCCAGACUCCUACGGGAGGCAGCAGUGGGGAAUAUUGCACAAUGGGCGGAAGCCUGAUGCAGCAACGCCGCGUGCGGGAUGACGGCCUUCGGGUUGUAAACCGCUUUCGCCUGUGACGAAGCGUGAGUGACGGUAAUGGGUAAAGAAGCACCGGCUAACUACGUG